GGAAUAUUGGACAAUGGGGGGAACCCUGAUCCAGCGACGCCGCGUGAGUGAAGAAGUAUCUCGGUAUGUAAAGCUCUAUCAGCAGGGAAGAAAGAAAUGACGGUACCUGACCAAGAAGCCCCGGCUAACUACGUGCCAGCAGCCGCGGUAAUACGUAGGGGGCAAGCGUUAUCCGGAUUUACUGGGUGUAAAGGGAGCGUAGGCGGUCUGCCAAGUCUGAUGUGAAAACCCGGGGCUCAACCCCGGGAGUGCAUUAGAAACUGGCGGACUGGGGUGUCGGAGAGGUAAGCGGAAUUCCUAGUGUAGCGGUGAAAUGCGUAGAUAUUAGGAGGAACACCAGUGGCGAAGGCGGCUUACUGGACAGAAACUGACACUGAGGCUCGAAAGCGUGGGGAGCAAAC
RNAcentral lists this ribosomal RNA (401 nucleotides) under uncultured bacterium. RNAcentral's name for it is "bacterial SSU rRNA". It matches the Rfam family "Bacterial small subunit ribosomal RNA", at positions 358 to 773 of the family's 1533-position model. The record is from RNAcentral.